RNAcentral lists this transfer RNA (62 nucleotides) under Capra hircus (goat). It matches the Rfam family "tRNA". Rfam says of the family: Transfer RNA (tRNA) molecules are approximately 80 nucleotides in length. Their secondary structure includes four short double-helical elements and three loops (D, anti-codon, and T loops). The record is from Rfam by way of RNAcentral. RNAcentral also lists the same sequence under 1 other name. Lineage: Eukaryota; Metazoa; Chordata; Mammalia; Artiodactyla; Bovidae.
GGGAACAUGGCUCAGAAGGUAGAGUGUCUGUCUGCAAUGCAGGAGACCCGAGUUUGAUCCCU